This 433-nucleotide ribosomal RNA is filed under the name uncultured bacterium. Its description in RNAcentral is "partial 16S ribosomal RNA". It matches the Rfam family "Bacterial small subunit ribosomal RNA", at positions 29 to 507 of the family's 1533-position model. The record is from RNAcentral.
AGCGAACGCUGGCGGCAGGCCUAACACAUGCAAGUCGAACGGAUCCUUCGGGAUUAGUGGCGGACGGGUGAGUAACACGUGGGAACGUGCCCUUUGGUUCGGAACAACUCAGGGAAACUUGAGCUAAUACCGGAUGUGCCCUUCGGGGGAAAGAUUUAUCGCCAUUGGAGCGGCCCGCGUCUGAUUAGCUAGUUGGUGAGGUAACGGCCCACCAAGGCGACGAUCAGUAGCUGGUCUGAGAGGAUGAUCAGCCACACUGGGACUGAGACACGGCCCAGACUCCUACGGGAGGCAGCAGUGGGGAAUCUUGCGCAAUGGGCGAAAGCCUGACGCAGCCAUGCCGCGUGAAUGAUGAUGGUCUUAGGAUUGUAAAAUUCUUUCAGCGGGGACGAUAAUGACGGUACCCGCAGAAGAAGCUCCGGCUAACUUCGUG